Molecule: ribosomal RNA, 435 nt
Filed under: Ostrinia furnacalis (Asian corn borer)
Lineage: Eukaryota; Metazoa; Arthropoda; Insecta; Lepidoptera; Crambidae
Description: 12S ribosomal RNA
Source: RNAcentral
UAAAAAUUUAAAUUUAAAAUACUAAAAUAGUAUAUAAUUAUUUAUUGAAACUUAAAUAAUUUGGCGGUAUUUUAGUUCAUUUAGAGGAAUCUGUUUAUUAAUUGAUAAUCCACGAAUAAAUUUACUUAAUUUAAAAUUUUGUAUAUCGUUGUUAAAAAAAUAUUUUUAAAUGAAAAUAAUAUUUUAAUUUUAUAAUUAAAAAUUAAAUCAGAUCAAGAUGCAGAUUAUAAUUAAGAAUAUAAUGGAUUACAAUAAAUUUAUUUAAAUGGAUUUUUUUUUUGUAAUAAAAAUUUGAAAGUGGAUUUAAAUGUAAUUUUAUUUAUUUUAAUAAAAUGAUUAUAUAUUAAAAUAUGUACAUAUUGCCCGUCGCUUUCAUAAAUAAAUUGGAAUAAGUCGUAACAAAGUAGAGGUACUGGAAAGUGUUUCUAGAAAUAA